This 198-nucleotide ribosomal RNA is filed under the name uncultured bacterium. Its description in RNAcentral is "partial 16S ribosomal RNA". It matches the Rfam family "Bacterial small subunit ribosomal RNA", at positions 328 to 539 of the family's 1533-position model. The record is from RNAcentral.
ACGCUCGACACCUACGGGAGGCAGCAGUGGGGAAUAUUGCACAAUGGGGGAAACCCUGAUGCAGCGACGCCGCGUGAGCGAAGAAGUAUUUCGGUAUGUAAAGCUCUAUCAGCAGGGAAGAAACUGACGGUACCUGACUAAGAAGCACCGGCUAAAUACGUGCCAGCAGCCGNGGUAAUCUGAGCGGGCUGGCAAGGC